RNAcentral lists this ribosomal RNA (243 nucleotides) under uncultured Pseudomonas sp. RNAcentral describes it as "partial 16S ribosomal RNA". It matches the Rfam family "Bacterial small subunit ribosomal RNA", at positions 1140 to 1382 of the family's 1533-position model. The record is from RNAcentral. Lineage: Bacteria; Pseudomonadati; Pseudomonadota; Gammaproteobacteria; Pseudomonadales; Pseudomonadaceae.
CUAAGGAGACUGCCGGUGACAAACCGGAGGAAGGUGGGGAUGACGUCAAGUCAUCAUGGCCCUUACGGCCUGGGCUACACACGUGCUACAAUGGUCGGUACAAAGGGUUGCCAAGCCGCGAGGUGGAGCUAAUCCCAUAAAACCGAUCGUAGUCCGGAUCGCAGUCUGCAACUCGACUGCGUGAAGUCGGAAUCGCUAGUAAUCGUGAAUCAGAAUGUCACGGUGAAUACGUUCCCGGGCCUU